AUUGACCGCUGGCGGCAUGCUUUACACAUGCAAGUCGAACGGUAACAGGCCUUCGGGCGCUGACGAGUGGCGAACGGGUGAGUAAUGCAUCGGAACGUGCCCAGUCGCGGGGGAUAACUGCUCGAAAGAGCAGCUAAUACCGCUUACGAUCUGCGGAUGAAAGCGGGGGACCUUCGGGCCUCGCGCGAUUGGAGCGGCCGAUGUCAGAUUAGGUAGUUGGUGGGGUAAAGGCUCACCAAGCCAACGAUCUGUAGCUGGUCUGAGAGGACGACCAGCCACACUUGGACUGAGACACGGCCCAGACUCCUACCGGAGGCAGCAGUGGGGAAUUUUGGACAAUGGGCGCAAGCCUGAUCCAGCAAUGCCGCGUGCAGGAAGAAGGCCUUCGGGUUGUAAACUGCUUUUGUACGGAACGAAACGGUCUGGGUUAAUACCCUGGGCUAAUGACGGUACCGUAAGAAUAAGCACCGGCUAACUACGUG
This 482-nucleotide ribosomal RNA is filed under the name uncultured bacterium. Its description in RNAcentral is "bacterial SSU rRNA". It matches the Rfam family "Bacterial small subunit ribosomal RNA", at positions 30 to 507 of the family's 1533-position model. The record is from RNAcentral.